This 433-nucleotide ribosomal RNA is filed under the name uncultured bacterium. RNAcentral describes it as "partial 16S ribosomal RNA". It matches the Rfam family "Bacterial small subunit ribosomal RNA", at positions 29 to 507 of the family's 1533-position model. The record is from RNAcentral.
AACGAACGCUGGCGGCAGGCCUAACACAUGCAAGUCGAGCGGACCUUUCGGGGUCAGCGGCGGACGGGUGAGUAACGCGUGGGAAUAUGCCCUUCUCUACGGAAUAGUCCUGGGAAACUGGGGGUAAUACCGUAUACGCCCUUUGGGGGAAAGAUUUAUCGGGGAAGGAUUAGCCCGCGUUGGAUUAGGUAGUGGGUGGGGGAAUGGCCUACCAAGCCGACGAUCCAUAGCUGGUUUGAGAGGAUGAUCAGCCACACUGGGACUGAGACACGGCCCAGACUCCUACGCGAGGCAGCAGUGGGGGAUCUUAGACAAUGGGGGCAACCCUGAUCUAGCCAUGCCGCGUGAGUGAUGAAGGCCUUAGGGUUGUAAAGCUCUUUCAGCUGGGAAGAUAAUGACGGUACCAGCAGAAGAAGCCCCGGCUAACUCCGUG